This 349-nucleotide ribosomal RNA is filed under the name uncultured bacterium. RNAcentral describes it as "bacterial SSU rRNA". It matches the Rfam family "Bacterial small subunit ribosomal RNA", at positions 32 to 390 of the family's 1533-position model. The record is from RNAcentral.
AAUCAACGUUGGCGGCGCGCUUAACACAUGCAAGUCGAACGAGAAAGUGGAGCAAUCCAUGAGUAAAGUGGCGUACGGGUGAGUAACACGUGGGUAUCCAUUCUUUGGUGGGGAAUAACUUUGGGAAACCGAAGCUAAUACCGCAUAAGUCCGAGAGGAGAAAGGUGAAAAUCGCCGAAGAGGGAGCCCGCGGCUGAUUAGCUAGUUGGUGGAGGUAACGGCCCACCAAGGCGAAGAUCGGUAGCCGGCCUGAGAGGGCACACGGCCACACUGGCACUGAGACACGGGCCAGACUCCUACGGGAGGCAGCAGUGGGGAAUCUUGGCACAAUGGGGGCAACCCUGAUGCA